Molecule: ribosomal RNA, 825 nt
Filed under: uncultured Methanosaeta sp.
Lineage: Archaea; Methanobacteriati; Methanobacteriota; Methanomicrobia; Methanotrichales; Methanotrichaceae
Description: bacterial SSU rRNA
Rfam family: Archaeal small subunit ribosomal RNA
Source: RNAcentral
CAGUAACACGUGGACAACCUGCCCUUAGGACGGGGAUAAACCCGGGAAACUGGGUAUAAUACCCGAUAGGUCUCGAUUGCUGGAAUGCAUCGAGAUUUAAAGCUCCGGCGCCUAAGGAUGGGUCUGCGGCCUAUCAGGUAGUAGUGGGUGUAGCGUACCUACUAGCCUACGACGGGUACGGGUUGUGAGAGCAAGAGCCCGGAGAUGGAUUCUGAGACACGAAUCCAGGCCCUACGGGGUGCAGCAGGCGCGAAAACUUUACAAUGCUGGCAACAGCGAUAAGGGAACCUCGAGUGCCAGGUUACAAAUCUGGCUGUCGAGAUGCCUAAAAAGCAUUUCAUAGCAAGGGCCGGGCAAGACCGGUGCCAGCCGCCGCGGUAACACCGGCGGCUCGAGUGGUAACCGUUAUUAUUGGGUCUAAAGGGUCUGUAGCCGGCCGGAUAAGUCUCUUGAGAAAUCUGGCAGCUUAACUGUCAGGCUUUCAGGAGAUACUGUCUGGCUCGAGGCCGGGAGAGGUGAGAGGUACUUCAGGGGUAGGGGUGAAAUCUUGUAAUCCUUGAAGGACCACCAGUGGCGAAGGCGUCUCACCAGAACGGACCUGACGGCAAGGGACGAAAGCUAGGGGCACGAACCGGAUUAGAUACCCGGGUAGUCCUAGCCGUAAACGAUACUCGCUAGGUGUCGGCCACGGUGCGACCGUUGUCGGUGCCGUAGGGAAGCCGUGAAGCGAGCCACCUGGGAAGUACGGCCGCAAGGCUGAAACUUAAAGGAAUGGCGGGGAGCACCACACGGUGUGGAGCUUGCGGUUUAAUUGGAUUCAACGCC